UGGGGAAUCUUGGACAAUGGGCGCAAGCCUGAUCCAGCCAUGCCGCGUGAGUGAAGAAGGCCUUCGGGUUGUAAAGCUCUUUUGUCAGGGACGAUAAUGACGGUACCUGAAGAAUAAGCCCCGGCAAACUUCGUGCCAGCAGCCGCGGUAAUACGAAGGGGGCUAGCGUUGUUCGGAAUUACUGGGCGUAAAGCGCACGUAGGCUGACAUUUAAGUCAGGGGUGAAAUCCCGAGGCUCAACCUCGGAACUGCCCUUGAUACUGGGUGUCUCGAGUCCGGAAGAGGUUAGUGGAAUUCCCAGUGUAGAGGUGAAAUUCGUAGAUAUUGGGAAGAACACCAGUGGCGAAGGCGGCUAACUGGUCCGGUACUGACGCUGAGGUGCGAAAGCGUGGGGAGCAAACAGG
Molecule: ribosomal RNA, 404 nt
Filed under: uncultured bacterium
Lineage: Bacteria
Also listed under: 1 other name
Description: bacterial SSU rRNA
Rfam family: Bacterial small subunit ribosomal RNA
Source: RNAcentral